This 602-nucleotide ribosomal RNA is filed under the name uncultured bacterium. RNAcentral describes it as "bacterial SSU rRNA". It matches the Rfam family "Bacterial small subunit ribosomal RNA", at positions 252 to 865 of the family's 1533-position model. The record is from RNAcentral.
GUGGGGUAACAGCCUACCCACGCGACGACGGGUAGCCGGCCUGAGAGGGCGACCGGCCACACUGGGACUGAGACACGGCCCAGACUCCUACGGGAGGCAGCAGUGGGGAAUAUUGCGCAAUGGGCGAAAGCCUGACGCAGCGACGCCGCGUGGGGGAUGAAGGCCUUCGGGUUGUAAACCCCUUUCGGCAGGGACGAAGCGAAAGUGACGGUACCUGCAGAAGAAGCGCCGGCUAACUACGUGCCAGCAGCCGCGGUAACACGUAGGGCGCAAGCGUUGUCCGGAAUCAUUGGGCGUAAAGAGCUCGUAGGCGGUCCGUUGCGUCCGCUGUGAAAACUCGGGGCUUAACCCCGAGCUUGCAGUGGAUACGGGCAGACUAGAGGUAGGUAGGGGAGAAUGGAAUUCCCGGUGUAGCGGUGAAAUGCGCAGAUAUCGGGAGGAACACCGGUGGCGAAGGCGGUUCUCUGGGCCUUACCUGACGCUGAGGAGCGAAAGCGUGGGGAGCGAACAGGAUUAGAUACCCUGGUAGUCCACGCCGUAAACGUUGGGCGCUAGGUGUGGGGUCCUUCCACGGACUCCGUGCCGCAGCUAACGCAUUAAGC